UUGUGAACCGCGAAUGGCUCAUUACAACAGCCAUAGUUUACUGGAUAUAUUCCAUUACAUGGAUAACUGUGGUAAUUCUACAGCUAAUACACGCAUCAAAGCCCUGACUUCGGAAAGGGUGCGUUAGUUACUUCAAACUGAUCGGUCUUCGGACUGCCAUCAAGUGAGAUUGAACUAUUUAGCUGAUCGCACGGUCUAAGCACCGGCGACAUAUCCUUCAAAUGUCUGCCUUAUCAACUUUCGAUGGUAGAUUAUGCGCCUACCAUGGUUGUAACGGGUAACGGAGAAUCAGGGUUUGAUUCCGGAGAGGGAGCCUGAGAAAUGGCUACCACAUCCAAGGAAGGCAGCAGGCACGCAAAUUACCCACUCCCGGCACGGGGAGGUAGUGACGAAAAAUAACAAGCUGGUCUCUUUGAGUUCCGGCAUUGUAAUGGGAACAACUUAAAUCAUUUAUCGAGGAUCUAUUGGAGGGCAAGUCUGGUGCCAGCAGCCGCGGUAAUUCCAGCUCCAAUAGCGUAUAUUAAAGUUGUUGCGGUUAAAAAGCUCGUAGUUGGAUCUACGAUCAAGGCUCGUGGUCGUUCUUCUCGAAUGUACUGCGAUGUCUGGUCGAUUUAUCUGGUGAACGAUUGAUGCUCUUCAUUGAGUGUCUCUAGUUGCUGGAACGUUUACCUUGAAAAAAUUGAAGUGCUCAAAGCAGGCUCUUGCCUGAACAUUGCUGCAUGGGAUAAUAGAAUAGGACUUCGGUUCUAUUUUGUUGGUUUCGGAACGCGGAGUAAUGAUUAAUAGGGACAGACGGGGGCAUUCGUAUUGCUGCGUUAGAGGUGAAAUUCUUGGAUCGUAGCAAGACGACCUACUGCGAAAGCAUUUGCCAAGAA
Molecule: ribosomal RNA, 875 nt
Filed under: Oncholaimus sp. 1 LM-2017
Lineage: Eukaryota; Metazoa; Nematoda; Enoplea; Enoplida; Oncholaimidae
Description: SSU rRNA
Rfam family: Eukaryotic small subunit ribosomal RNA
Source: RNAcentral